UUAAUUGAAGCCAAAAAGAGGCCUGUCACUGUUAAUGAUAUCACUGAAUAUAGUUCCAAUUAAA
Molecule: transfer RNA, 64 nt
Filed under: Paroster microsturtensis
Lineage: Eukaryota; Metazoa; Arthropoda; Insecta; Coleoptera; Dytiscidae
Description: tRNA-Asn
Source: RNAcentral